UACGUAGGGGGCAAGCGUUGUCCGGAAUUAUUGGGCGUAAAGCGCGCGCAGGUGGUUUCUUAAGUCUGAUGUGAAAGCCCACGGCUCAACCGUGGAGGGUCAUUGGAAACUGGGGAACUUGAGUGCAGGAGAGAAGAGUGGAAUUCCACGUGUAGCGGUGAAAUGCGUAGAGAUGUGGAGGAACACCAGUGGCGAAGGCGACUCUGUGGCCUGUAACUGACACUGAGGCGCGAAAGCGUGGGGAGCAAACAGG
Molecule: ribosomal RNA, 253 nt
Filed under: uncultured bacterium
Lineage: Bacteria
Description: partial 16S ribosomal RNA
Rfam family: Bacterial small subunit ribosomal RNA
Source: RNAcentral